GGCACUUUGGCGGAGUGGUUAACGCGAUGCCCUGCUAUAGAGUAAUCUAAGUUGAUCAGGCAUUUCCUUCGGGAGCAAGAGUUCGAAUCUCUUAGGUGUCG
Molecule: transfer RNA, 101 nt
Filed under: Amylocarpus encephaloides
Lineage: Eukaryota; Fungi; Ascomycota; Leotiomycetes; Helotiales
Rfam family: tRNA
About the family: Transfer RNA (tRNA) molecules are approximately 80 nucleotides in length. Their secondary structure includes four short double-helical elements and three loops (D, anti-codon, and T loops). Further hydrogen bonds mediate the characteristic L-shaped molecular structure. tRNAs have two regions of fundamental functional importance: the anti-codon, which is responsible for specific mRNA codon recognition, and the 3' end, to which the tRNAs corresponding amino acid is attached (by aminoacyl-tRNA synthetases). tRNAs cope with the degeneracy of the genetic code in two manners: having more than one tRNA (with a specific anti-codon) for a particular amino acid; and 'wobble' base-pairing, i.e. permitting non-standard base-pairing at the 3rd anti-codon position.
Source: Rfam by way of RNAcentral